AUAGGACUUGAUUUUCUUCUUUUUUCUCUUUCUUCUCACCCAUAUUAAGUGAAAUAUGCUUAUUUAGGGUUAUGGGAAUUUUAAGGAAGCAUUGCGGGUGUCCCGGAAGCCCAUUUUUUAACAUAACGGGGGAGGUGGUUGCCACCUAACUCGCCCAGGUGAGCUAGGUUGCUUCCACCUUAAGCAAGAAAUUGGCCAGAAACCUCUAGAAGGGCCCAGAUUCGAAAAUUACUAUUGGCACC
Molecule: long non-coding RNA, 242 nt
Filed under: Glycine max (soybean)
Lineage: Eukaryota; Viridiplantae; Streptophyta; Magnoliopsida; Fabales; Fabaceae
Description: long non-coding RNA (GMAX_LNC002476)
Source: RNAcentral